This 513-nucleotide ribosomal RNA is filed under the name uncultured bacterium. RNAcentral describes it as "partial 16S ribosomal RNA". It matches the Rfam family "Bacterial small subunit ribosomal RNA", at positions 28 to 523 of the family's 1533-position model. The record is from RNAcentral.
GACGAACGCUGGCGGCGUGCCUAAUACAUGCAAGUAGAACGCUGACUACUUUAGCUUGCUAGAGUAGAAGGAGUUGCGAACGGGUGAGUAACGCGUAGGUAACCUGCCUACUAGCGGGGGAUAACUAUUGGAAACGAUAGCUAAUACCGCAUAACAGUGUUUAACACAUGUUAGAUGCUUGAAAGAUGCAAUUGCAUCACUAGUAGAUGGACCUGCGUUGUAUUAGCUAGUUGGUGGGGUAACGGCCCACCAAGGCGACGAUACAUAGCCGACCUGAGAGGGUGAUCGGCCACACUGGGACUGAGACACGGCCCAGACUCCUACGGGAGGCAGCAGUAGGGAAUCUUCGGCAAUGGGGGCAACCCUGACCGAGCAACGCCGCGUGAGUGAAGAAGGUUUUCGGAUCGUAAAGCUCCGUUGUAAGAGAAGAACGUGUGUGAGAGUGGAAAGUUCACACAGUGACGGUAACUUACCAGAAAGGGACGGCUAACUACGUGCCAGCCGCCGCAGUAA